CAGCCGCCGCGGUAAUACGAAGGGGGCUAGCGUUGCUCGGAAUUACUGGGCGUAAAGGGAGCGUAGGCGGACAUUUAAGUCAGGGGUGAAAUCCCAGAGCUCAACUCUGGAACUGCCUUUGAUACUGGGUGUCUUGAGUGUGAUAGAGGUAUGUGGAACUCCGAGUGUAGAGGUGAAAUUCGUAGAUAUUCGGAAGAACACCAGUGGCGAAGGCGGCUCACUGGCUCAUACUGGACGCUGAGGUGCGAAAGCGUGGGGAGCAAACAGGAUUAGAUACCCCUGUAGUCCCUGUCUCUUAUAC
Molecule: ribosomal RNA, 301 nt
Filed under: uncultured bacterium
Lineage: Bacteria
Description: partial 16S ribosomal RNA
Rfam family: Bacterial small subunit ribosomal RNA
Source: RNAcentral